GAGAACAGGAGGCUGUCACAGUCCAGAUCCUUACCAGUGAUGAAUGCAUGAGGCAGGUGAUUAUUUAAAUCUCAAAGAGUAUCCUGGUAGCUUGGUGAAACCAAAAAAUUUGCCAAGGAAGUCAAGGUACCUUUCAGAAGAAGGAUCAGAUAAACUGCUCUUUCUUCUCAAGUGGCAGAGAACCAAUGUCUUUACUACACAUUUACUUCACGCCAUGAGAAACAGAAGAUGGUCACUACAUAAAGGAUGCAAUACAGAAUCAUCCCUACACAGAAACAAUUCCUAUGCUGUUAGUGAGGAAGAGAGUAAGUUUUUAAGAACAAGGAAUUAUUGUUUUAUGGGAUCACCUGCUGCAAGACAAGCAUUAUUUUAAUAUAAGUGUUCUGAGACAUACCAUUAAAGUUGGCAGGUAUAU
Molecule: long non-coding RNA, 415 nt
Organism: Bos taurus (domestic cattle)
Lineage: Eukaryota; Metazoa; Chordata; Mammalia; Artiodactyla; Bovidae
Source: Ensembl